UGUCCGUUGGUGAACCAGCGGAGGGAUCACUAAAGAGUUCUAUAACUCCCAAACCCAUGUGAACAUACCUUACGUUGCCUCGGCAGGUCGCGCCUACCCCGUAACGUCCUACCCUGUAGGACCUAACCGGUAGACGCGGGUAAGCCUGCCGGCGGCCCACGAAACUCUGUUUAAUAUUGAAUUCUGAACCUAAAACUAAAUAAGUUAAAACUUUCAACAACGGAUCUCUUGGUUCUG
Molecule: unclassified non-coding RNA, 237 nt
Filed under: plant metagenome
Description: partial contains small subunit ribosomal RNA, internal transcribed spacer 1, and 5.8S ribosomal RNA
Source: RNAcentral